GCUGACGAAGUUUAUUGCGUUCAGGGACAGCAGUGGCCAUGGGUAAUCUUUAUUGUCAGAAGGACGCUAUGCAACUGCAAGCAACGUAUUCCCGUUCUAUCAACCGAUACACGAGCUACUCAUCCGAACUGGGUUGGGCUAGUAUCCACUCUACCACAGCCAGCGAUUCUGUAACGUCCUGACGGGCGUAUUCGUUCCUGAAGAAGAAAGCACCCGGGUCUCACCAGGACUCCAGGGAGCCGCGCUGAAACGUGGGUGCUUUUCGAGAAGCGACUCGCACGGCAUUUGUAUACGAGUCUCAAGGAUAAUCCCAACGUGGGCGUUGCUGAGUUCCCUGUGCGCCUUGAGAAAACGACACGACGGAUGGUGCGUGUUAUUAUUCGACAUUGCUGCAUUGCCGUCUCGCUGCGUUGCUGCUCUCGGCAUUUUACACUGAGCUGCUGCUGUAAGACACCGAGCCAUCUGGUUACGAAUAGACAGGCGGCCAGUAGAAGCAAGACGGUUGAAGCCUGAAAGGAAAGAAGAUGCUGUAACAAAAAAGAAGAACAUUACGCGAGAUCGCUCAAAUCGUCUGCAUUCUUCUGGCAAGAUCAGAGUAAAAGAUCUGAGAAGCAGAGACCGAUGCUGAAGAAAUUUCAGUCCCGGUAUCUCUUACUUAUACAUAACAGGAACAGCCAUUUUUAUGACUUCUAAUUACUAUUGCAGUGCAACCAGUACAACCAGUACCAGCUAAUGAAUUAGGGAUGUAGAAUUUGUAGAAUACCUUAGGCAAUAGCAUAAAGAAAUGAUUAUACAUUUUUCUAUUAAUAUACAUUUCCAAGUAACUGUAAUUAUUUAUAUCAAUGAUAAAAAAGCGUUAUAAAAUUCUAA
Long non-coding RNA from Cephus cinctus (wheat stem sawfly), 870 nucleotides. RefSeq lists it as uncharacterized. The transcript is spliced from 3 exons. The record is from RefSeq and is a predicted model, not a curated record. NCBI's taxonomy places the organism in Eukaryota, Metazoa, Arthropoda, Insecta, Hymenoptera, Cephidae.